This 459-nucleotide long non-coding RNA is filed under the name Citrus x clementina. Its description in RNAcentral is "Citrus clementina (C. clementina) long non-coding RNA (CCLE_LNC004390)". Lineage: Eukaryota; Viridiplantae; Streptophyta; Magnoliopsida; Sapindales; Rutaceae. The record is from RNAcentral.
AUAUAUACACAUAAAAUAUUAAAAAAUAUAAAAUUCGGGUACUCAGAUUAAAACCCGAUCCGAACUCAAACCCAGACCGAUUGCAUCCGGGCAGGGUCCGGUCAUGGCAAUACCCGGACCCGGCCUGGGGUUUUGCCAUCUCUAACUGUAAUCACGGCGUUGUAUGAUGACAAACACGAUGGUGAUACGCGUCAGAAUCUUAGUGGCGUUGAGGUACCAAACCUUCGGCGAUGAUGAAGGCCAUUGUCGUCAUGGAGAAUUUUCACGCGGCGGUACGGAAAAGGGAUGUCAAGGACAACAUAAAAACGACAGCGUUGUGGUGGGCAUCAUUAAUCGUAUCACUCUUAUUAUUAUAUUGCAUUGAAUGAAUGAAAAGCUGUCGAGAAACGGCUAGAGUCCUAUGGAAAAAGGAAUUUACCAAUUUUUUUUAAUAUAUCUUUCAAAAAAGAUUUUAUAUAU